This 253-nucleotide ribosomal RNA is filed under the name uncultured bacterium. Its description in RNAcentral is "partial 16S ribosomal RNA". It matches the Rfam family "Bacterial small subunit ribosomal RNA", at positions 524 to 776 of the family's 1533-position model. The record is from RNAcentral.
UACGUAGGGGGCAAGCGUUGUCCGGAAUCAUUGGGCGUAAAGCGCGUGUAGGCGGUUCGGUAAGUCCGCUGUGAAAGUCGGGGGCUCAACCCUCGGAUGCCGGUGGAUACUGUCGAGCUUGAGUACGGAAGAGGCGAGUGGAAUUCCUGGUGUAGAGGUGAAAUGCGCAGAUAUCAGGAGGAACACCAAUUGCGAAGGCAGCUCGCUGGGACGUUACUGACGCUGAGACGCGAAAGCGUGGGGAGCAAACAGG